RNAcentral lists this ribosomal RNA (451 nucleotides) under uncultured organism. RNAcentral's name for it is "partial 16S ribosomal RNA". It matches the Rfam family "Bacterial small subunit ribosomal RNA", at positions 331 to 798 of the family's 1533-position model. The record is from RNAcentral.
GUACACUCCUGCGGGAGGCAGCAGUGGGGAAUAUUGGACAAUGGGCGCAAGCCUGAUCCAGCCAUGCCGCGUGAGUGAUGAAGGCCCUAGGGUUGUAAAGCUCUUUCACCGGUGAAGAUAAUGACGGUAACCGGAGAAGAAGCCCCGGCUAACUUCGUGCCAGCAGCCGCGGUAAUACGAAGGGGGCUAGCGUUGUUCGGAUUUACUGGGCGUAAAGCGCACGUAGGCGGACUAUUAAGUCAGGGGUGAAAUCCCGGGGCUCAACCCCGGAACUGCCUUUGAUACUGGUAGUCUUGAGUUCGAGAGAGGUGAGUGGAAUUCCGAGUGUAGAGGUGAAAUUCGUAGAUAUUCGGAGGAACACCAGUGGCGAAGGCGGCUCACUGGCUCGAUACUGACGCUGAGGUGCGAAAGCGUGGGGAGCAAACAGGAUUAGAAACCCCAGUAGUCCCAU